CGCCUCCGUCCCGGCUGCGGCCCCUGCCGGUUACAUAACUGGUUGCGGGCUCCGCGCGGCCCCACUUCCUGGCUCCCGGCGAACCAAGGAUGCACUGAGCCCUAGAACGCUGUCCGCUGCCGCCGGCUCCCCCCCGAGGUGUGAAUGACAGAGGCAGUGCCGUCCAGCGCGCUCAGCGAGGUCAGCCUGCGCCUCCUCUGCCACGAUGACAUAGACACCGUGAAGCACCUGUGCGGCGACUGGUUCCCCAUCGAGUACCCAGACUCAUGGUAUCGUGAUAUCACCUCCAACAAGAAGUUCUUUUCCCUUGCCGCGACCUACAGGGGUGACAUCGUGGGGAUGAUUGUAGCUGAAAUUAAGAAUCGGACCAAGAUACACAAGGAGGACGGAGAUAUUCUGGCCUCCAGCUUCUCCGUGGACACACAGGUUGCGUACAUCCUCAGCCUGGGAGUGGUGAAGGAGUUCAGGAAGCACGGGAUAGGGUCCCUGUUACUUGAGAGUCUAAAGGAUCACAUAUCAACCACUGCCCAGGACCACUGCAAAGCCAUCUACCUGCACGUCCUUACCACCAACAACACAGCCAUAAGCUUCUACGAGAACAGAGACUUCAAGCAGCACCACUAUCUCCCUUACUACUACUCCAUCCGCGGGGUCCUCAAAGAUGGCUUUACCUACGUCCUCUACAUCAACGGCGGCCACCCCCCCUGGACCAUCUUGGACUACAUCCAGCACCUGGGCUCCGCGCUAGCAAACCUGAGCCCCUGCUCCAUCCCACACAGGAUCUACCGCCAGGCCCAGAGCCUGCUCUGCAGCUUCUUGCCAUGGUCUAGCAUCUCCACCAAGGGCGGCAUCGAGUACAGCCGGACCAUGUGACGCCAGCCAGGCAGCCUCCGCCGGGCCCCACCCCCCGGCAUCUGGCGGACGCCACCUUCCUGGCCAUCUGACUGCGGCUGUCCUCUGCAGAGGAACUGGCGGCCACCUGCCGGGCUGGUUGGCCCGCCCCAGCUGCAGGCCGGUGCUACGCGGGUUCGGGAGCAGAGCAACGUGGGGCAUGCCCUGUCUCCCCAGGCUCUCCCAGGCCUCCUACCCGCUCUGAAAACCUUCAGUUCUGCUGAGCCCUGGCCCAGCCCUGCGUGUGCACACCGGCCUCACGGGCAGCCCUGGUGGCAGCGUUCACUGUGGUCUGUUUUUUCCGCUGCUCCAGGCGCAAGGCCGUGGGAAGGGGCUUCUUCUCUGCGCCCCUCACUGGCCUCCCCCUGUCCUCAGCCCAUUCCUUCCAGUUCCUUCCUCCAAAGCCAGAAUUAACUUCUCAGAGGGAGAAACCCAAGUGUUACAGACACAUUUGACCCUAAAGACACAGGAGCCUGAGAAAAACAAGGGGUCGAAUACUGGGAACGCCAGCCCCUCUUCCAGAGCCAGCCCCCAGAGGCCCGGGGGCAGGGAGCAAUCUGAUCCCUCCACUUGGGGCUGGGGCUCCUGGGGGACAGCCAGGGAGGCCCUUCACCCACACCCUGAGCUCCGACUCUCAGGCUCUGCUCCCCACAUGGGCCUCAGGAUAACGGGCUGGAUGCUUACACCCCCACCGGGAGGAUGAGUCCUCCCACGGGCUGGCUUCAUUCUGUCCCAGGUGACCGGAGCUGCCCAGCCAACGGUGGACGUGCCAUUCACCUGAGCUGCUGUGGAGAGCCAGGUUGAGGACGUGUGCCGAUAAGGAUCCCCGGGGUCCAUGCCUCCCCCCAGGUUCCCAGCCCCUUGAGCUGCAGCUCUGAGGCCUGGCCAGAUACAAAGGGGACAGGGGACGACGCUGCACACUGCGUUGACCAAGUGAGACCCGGCCUUUGAGGCUGGGGGCAGUCACGUGCCUUGUGAUCUAUCCGCCUCUGGGGCAGAGACUCUGAGGGGAGUGUGCACGGAUCCCCCAGAGCUGCUCUCUGCCCGCCCUGCUUUCUGGAGCAGAUGGGGUGGUGCAGAGUUGUGCUUGGCCCAAGAGCUGGAGAGGGAACACGGCAGGUGGGGCUGCGUGACCGUGUCCUUCCCUCCCUUGGAACUUCCAAGCCUGGGGGCUCCCAGGAUGAAGGGCAUCUGGGCAGGAGGGCUUCAGCCUCCCCUCCUCCGAGCUGACAUCAGCUUCACGCUGAGGCCCAGCUAGGUGUCCUCCCUAAUCUGAAUCAACGAUGACCAUGUGAUUUUUUUUUUUCCCCCUGGCCCUUGGGGUAAGGCAAGAGUCUUCCAGAAUGUUCUGCCUUGGACAUUGGUAAUGAGCAUAGAGGCCUUGGCCUGCUCCUCCAUCCCGCCCCCUAAUCAUUGCAGUGUCCAGCCCAGUGUUGAACAGAUUGUAGUGUUUCUUCUCAUUACAGACAAAUAAAUAGACUUCAGUUGGUCACAUUCA
Molecule: RNA transcript, 2389 nt
Organism: Bubalus bubalis (water buffalo)
Lineage: Eukaryota; Metazoa; Chordata; Mammalia; Artiodactyla; Bovidae
Gene: NAA60
Gene name: N-alpha-acetyltransferase 60, NatF catalytic subunit
Exons: 7
Source: RefSeq, a predicted model, not a curated record